RNAcentral lists this unclassified non-coding RNA (177 nucleotides) under uncultured Flammeovirgaceae bacterium. Its description in RNAcentral is "16S-23S ribosomal RNA intergenic spacer". Lineage: Bacteria; Pseudomonadati; Bacteroidota; Cytophagia; Cytophagales; Flammeovirgaceae. The record is from RNAcentral.
AGAGAAUAAUUAAAGCGUUGCUGCUUGUUAUCAAUUAUAAUAUAUAGGUUGAGUUUCCUUUAACAGAAGCUCAAUCACUAUUUCUGCCUAACACCUAAACAACGAGUAUAGGGAUAGGGUAGAGAAAAAGUUCAAUAACAUUUUGAGAGAAGAAAGAAAUUAGAUCACCGAGAGAUC